GACGAACGCUGGCGGCGUGCUUAACACAUGCAAGUCGAGCGGAAAGGCCCUUUCGGGGGUACUCGAGCGGCGAACGGGUGAGUAACACGUGAGUAAUCUGCCCCUGGCUUUGGGAUAGCCACCGGAAACGGUGAUUAAUACCGGAUACGACCACUUCUCGCAUGGGAUGGUGGUGGAAAGUUUUUCGGCCAGGGAUGUGCUCGCGGCCUAUCAGCUUGAUGGUGAGGUAAUGGCUCACCAUGGCUUCGACGGGUAGCCGGCCUGAGAGGGUGACAGGUCACACUGGGACUGAGACACGGCCCAGACUCCUGCGGGAGGCAGCAGUGGGGAAUAUUGGACAAUGGGCGGAAGCCUGAUUCAGCAACGCCGCGUGAGGGAUGACGGCCUUCGGGUUGUAAACCUCUUUCAGCAGGGACGAAGCGCAAGUGACGGUACCUGCAGAAGAAGCACCGGCCAACUACGUGCCAGCCGCCGCCGUAA
Molecule: ribosomal RNA, 480 nt
Filed under: uncultured bacterium
Lineage: Bacteria
Description: partial 16S ribosomal RNA
Rfam family: Bacterial small subunit ribosomal RNA
Source: RNAcentral